UGGGGAAUAUUGCACAAUGGGCGCAAGCCUGAUGCAGCGACGCCGCGUGAGGGAUGGAGGCCUUCGGGUUGUAAACCUCUUUCGCCAGUGAAGCAGGCCAUCUUCUUUGUGGGGUGGUUGACGGUAGCUGGAUAAGAAGCGCCGGCUAACUACGUGCCAGCAGCCGCGGUAAUACGUAGGGCGCGAGCGUUGUCCGGAAUUAUUGGGCGUAAAGAGCUCGUAGGCGGCUGGUCGCGUCUGUCGUGAAAUCCCCUGGCUUAACUGGGGGCUUGCGGUGGGUACGGGCCCGCUUGAGUGCGGUAGGGGAGACUGGAAUUCCUGGUGUAGCGGUGGAAUGCGCAGAUAUCAGGAGGAACACCGGUGGCGAAGGCGGGUCUCUGGGCCGUUACUGACGCUGAGGAGCGAAAGCGUGGGGAGCGAACAGG
Molecule: ribosomal RNA, 425 nt
Filed under: bacterium
Lineage: Bacteria
Description: partial 16S ribosomal RNA
Rfam family: Bacterial small subunit ribosomal RNA
Source: RNAcentral